This 74-nucleotide transfer RNA is filed under the name bacterium. Its description in RNAcentral is "tRNA-His". It matches the Rfam family "tRNA". Rfam says of the family: Transfer RNA (tRNA) molecules are approximately 80 nucleotides in length. Their secondary structure includes four short double-helical elements and three loops (D, anti-codon, and T loops). Further hydrogen bonds mediate the characteristic L-shaped molecular structure. tRNAs have two regions of fundamental functional importance: the anti-codon, which is responsible for specific mRNA codon recognition, and the 3' end, to which the tRNAs corresponding amino acid is attached (by aminoacyl-tRNA synthetases). tRNAs cope with the degeneracy of the genetic code in two manners: having more than one tRNA (with a specific anti-codon) for a particular amino acid; and 'wobble' base-pairing, i.e. permitting non-standard base-pairing at the 3rd anti-codon position. The record is from RNAcentral.
GCGGGUGUAGCUUAGCGGUUUAAAGCGUCGCUCUGUGGCAGCGAAGAUCGUGGGUUCAAAUCCCAUCACCCGCC